RNAcentral lists this ribosomal RNA (1086 nucleotides) under Triticum aestivum (bread wheat). RNAcentral describes it as "partial small subunit ribosomal RNA". The record is from RNAcentral. Lineage: Eukaryota; Viridiplantae; Streptophyta; Magnoliopsida; Poales; Poaceae.
AUGGCGGGGAGCCCGCGGUCCAUCAACUCGUCCUUCUGUAGGAGUGGGGAGCGGCCUGUCGUGUCGGGACUUGGGCUUUCCUCGGGCUCGGAGGUGUCGGGAGGUCCGGGAGAGCCUGCGCCGGCGGCUGAUGGCGAAUCCAGGCGUCGGGUUGUGUCGUGGGUGCAGCCGCCGCCCACGAAGAAGACUCUUUGGCGGCACCGGGUCGGGUUGGAAGUGGAGCCGGGCGUUCAGCUGCACGCCCCGCGGCUGCUCCCCUCUCCUCCGCUGUGCCGGGAGGUCUCGCCGGAGAUGGACAACAAGUGCUUUAGGUGCCUGUUGGAGGGGCACUUUCACAAGGACUGCACCAACGACAUCGCGUGCUUCAGAUGCGGGCUUUCGGGUCAUGGUUCGCGCGACUGCAAGCGCCCCCGGAGUCCUUCUGCUGUGGAAGAUCUGCGUCGCGAGGCGGCGGCCAAGGCGGCCCGUCGUGAAGCAGACAGGCGUGCGGCCGGCCCUGCUCAGCGGCCUCCCCCUCCGCCACCUCCACCUGUGCAGGGGCAUCCCUCGACUCCGGUAUGGCCGGCUCUGUUCGUUCCUCGUCUCAAGGUGCGCACCGACCCGGUCCUGGAGCCGGUGGAGCCGGUGGACAUCUGCGUGGUGCGCCGUUCGCAGUCCAUGGAGGACCUGGAGCGGCGGCUACAGUUCGCCAUGGUGGCAUACGCUGGCGGUGCAAGGAGAGAUCUUUCGCCAGAGUUCGUCCUAGAUGCUCUGAGGACGCAAGUCAAGGUUGAUAGGGAUUGGGUUUCGGUCAUCAGAUUCCAGCCGGAGGAUUUCCUUGUGGUGUUUGGGCGUGCAGAGCACCGGAGCAGGGUGAGCGCCCUUCCUUUCCUGGAGCACCGGGGAGUUCGUCUAUACUUCCGGCCAUGGAACCAGCAGGCACAAGAAGUGCACGCGCUGAUGGGAUUCAAGGUUCGCUUGGAGCUGGAAGGCAUCCCCCCUCAUGCUUGGGACAGAGAGGUGGCGGAGACAUGUGUUUUGUCGAAGGAGGAGCCCACCGCUCAGGCAGCAUCACAGGGUGGGUUGGUGGAGCUAGCGGCCCCAUAG